RNAcentral lists this ribosomal RNA (537 nucleotides) under uncultured Cortinarius. Its description in RNAcentral is "eukaryotic LSU rRNA". The stretch from base 141 to 294 matches the Rfam family "5.8S ribosomal RNA". The record is from RNAcentral. Lineage: Eukaryota; Fungi; Basidiomycota; Agaricomycetes; Agaricales; Cortinariaceae.
GGCUCUCCAGGGAGCAAUGUGCACACCUUGUCAUCUUUAUAUCUCCACCUGUGCACUUUUUGUAGACCUUUUCCGGUCUAUGUUGCUUCAUUUUACCCCAAUUGUAUGUCAAUAGAAUGUUGUGCCUUUAUAAUAUAUACAACUUUCAGCAACGGAUCUCUUGGCUCUCGCAUCGAUGAAGAACGCAGCGAAAUGCGAUAAGUAAUGUGAAUUGCAGAAUUCAGUGAAUCAUCGAAUCUUUGAACGCACCUUGCGCUCCUUGGUAUUCCGAGGAGCAUGCCUGUUUGAGUGUCAUUAAUAUAAUCUCAACCCCUUCUCUUGUUGAAGGGUUUGGAUGUGGGGGUUUGCUGGCCUUCUCAAAAGGUUCAGCUCCUCUGAAAUGCAUUAGCAGAACGACCUUGCUCAUUGGUGUGAUAACUAUCUACGCUUAUGAAUGUGAGGGGCAGUUCAGCUUUCUAACUGUCUUUUUGGACAAAUCAUCAUUAAUGUGACCUCAAAUCAGGUAGGACUACCCGCUGAACUUAAGCAUAUCAAUAA